This 126-nucleotide ribosomal RNA is filed under the name Glycine max (soybean). The record is from RNAcentral. Lineage: Eukaryota; Viridiplantae; Streptophyta; Magnoliopsida; Fabales; Fabaceae.
UGAUGAGAUUUUAUAAAUAAAUAAAAUAAAUGCACCGGAUCCCAUCAAAACUCCGCGGUUAAGCGUGUUUGGGCAAGAGUAGUAUUAGGAUGGGUGACCUCCUGGGAAGUCCUCGUGUUGCACCUC